UACGAAGGGGGCUAGCGUUGUUCGGAAUCACUGGGCGUAAAGCGCACGCAGGCGGAUUGAUAAGUCAGGGGUGAAAUCCCGGGGCUCAACCUCGGAAUUGCCUUUGAUACUGUCUGUCUUGAGUUCGGGAGAGGUUGGCGGAAUUCCUAGUGUAGAGGUGAAAUUCGUAGAUAUUAGGAAGAACACCAGUGGCGAAGGCGGCCAACUGGCCCGAUACUGACGCUGAGGCACGAAAGCGUGGGGAGCAAACAGG
This 253-nucleotide ribosomal RNA is filed under the name uncultured bacterium. Its description in RNAcentral is "partial 16S ribosomal RNA". It matches the Rfam family "Bacterial small subunit ribosomal RNA", at positions 524 to 776 of the family's 1533-position model. The record is from RNAcentral.